UAGCCCAAGAGAUCGGGAUAACACCUGGAAACAGAUGCUAAUACCGGAUAACAACAGAUGAUGCCUAUCAACUGUUUAAAAGAUGGUUCUGCUAUCACUCUUGGAUGGACCUGCGGUGCAUUAGCUAGUUGGUAGGGUAACGGCCUACCAAGGCGAUGAUGCAUAGCCGAGUUGAGAGACUGAUCGGCCACAUUGGGACUGAGACACGGCCCAAACUCCUACGGGAGGCAGCAGAC
Molecule: ribosomal RNA, 236 nt
Filed under: uncultured Lactobacillus sp.
Lineage: Bacteria; Bacillati; Bacillota; Bacilli; Lactobacillales; Lactobacillaceae
Description: partial 16S ribosomal RNA
Rfam family: Bacterial small subunit ribosomal RNA
Source: RNAcentral